CUCUUCGCUUGUCAGAGAUCCUGCGAGCGCAACCGAUUUCCGCACAUGCGCGGUCGGUGUCGUCAGUGCCCAGUCGACGCCUAGGUAGCGGCGCGGCUGGUCCGCUAGCGUCUGUGGUAGGGUGACGUGUUGGCGACAGUUCUCCAACCAGGGAUCAAACCUGUGCCCCCUGCCUUGGAAGCAUGGAGUCUCAUCCACUGGACCACCAGGAGUUGACCUCAUGUAAUUGUCCAAGCAAUCUCUGUAAGGUUGUAAUCUUUGUAAUCGAUGCUGGAUCUUCAAGUCCACAGGGCAGGCAAUCAGGACGAGAAGAUGGAUCUAAGGUAGGGGAGAGCGGGCAUAAGCCAAACAGGAGUCCAUGAGGACAGAUGAAACCUAUGUCCAUUCUCACUGCCACUGACCUUGGUGAUACGGAGAGGCUCCAGUGGCUGGAGCCGUUUGUCAGAGAACUGAACACACACGCCUGCCCAGGAAUUAGAGAAGCUGAAGGAAGCUCUAGAGGAAGGUGGAGUGAUUGCAGAUCAAGUGAUUCCUCACACCAAGGAGAACAGAAACUCCAGCGUCUGACCUGCUGUACAACUUGGGAGGCACUGGUGUACUCAGAAGAUAGUAAACCCUUUUGGGAAGUUCCAGUGAUGGCCAGCCUCUCUGUCUGAAGUGUAAGGCCGGACUCAGAACUAGGAGGGACCCAGAGCAGAGGGAAGCAGCCUUCCCAUAUCACCUGCAGACAGGAUGGGCAAGUAUGAGACAGAAUGACUGGGCUGGGAAAGUCUUAUGGGGCGAGAAAUUUAUCCCUGAACACAGGAUCCUGUGCAGGGCCAAAAGGAAUCACAGACUGGCAGUUCAGCCUGUGCCAUCUGUGCCUCUCAUGCCAACACCCAGCACACCCCAUACCAGCAGCUCUUCCUAACAUGCUCAGUGGCACGGGUUCAGGCAGCAAACAUGUUCCAGUCCACCCAGCACCAAGAGGCCCAGGGUGGAGGCAAGCCUAGGUAGCACCAGGGGGCCAAGCUGUUUGCGGGGGUGGGUAGGCACAUGUGCAGGAAGGGGGAAUACAAGAUGGCACGAAACACCUGAGAUCAGGAUGAAGCGUUCAGGCUCUCCCCCUCCCACCAUUGUAGAUGUUGUCCCAAGAGGAAAGCAAAUUGGGGGAACUGGAGGAAUGAGGGCACCCCCUCAGCAGUUGGGUGCAGACGAGGCCCCCCUGGGAACCAAAAUGGCUGUUAGGAGCCAUGAUUCUUGGUCUGACACUGCAGGGAAUGGGUGAAAAGCCACCAGGAAUUACAAUAUGGACAAGCCCAUGGUGACUUCAGUGGUAGCACUUUGUGCCCACAGGCGGCAAAACCGGUGUCUUGGCAAACAGGAGGGGCCUCAAGGCCACGCAACGCCGAUUCCUCCUUGUCCCUGGCCCCACCAACAGCCCAAAUCACUGACAGCUCGAAGGAACCCGGGGCUCAAAUGGAAUAUAUAUUAGGAUCAGGCAGCACAUCAUAAAACCUCGCCCUCCCCAGUGAGCGAGAAGUCAGGAACACCGGGCGGGUCUGUCAGGCACAGCUGGGUGGCACAAGGCAGGGGGCUGGAUUCGAGCUGGCAUGGGAGCAAGAGGGAAGGGGGUCCUGAGGUACUUGUUCACAGAGAAUGGGAGGGCCCCAGAGGCCUGCCAGCCACAGCCCCAGGUAGCUGUUAAGAAGCAUCCGCAGAGCUGUAGGGGAAGAACUUCGUGGCCUUGUUUGGGGUGGUGGGGUUCAGGCACUCUGCCUCCUCGUUCAUCUUGAAGAACAUCUCCUGCUCUCGCUUCUUCUGGUUCAGAUCUUCUUCCAGAGCCUAGGACAGACAGAGGGCAGAUGGAGCUCAGCUGGAUCCCUUAGGACAAACGUCUCCCCCAACCACAGGACCCCCACCAAAGUGGCCUUCUCUGGAAAUUUCCCUCCCAGGCCUCAGUGCUCAAGUAACUUGGUCUUCCCUCUCUCCUUUCCCAGAGCCCCUCACCCAGAAGGUAAGUACCACCUCCUCCUUCCUCCUGCCACAGCCAUGCAGGAGUUUCCUGUGGGCCAAGGGCUCUGCUUUGGGGAAAUGCCAGUCUAGAUGGGGUGCUAGGGAGAAGCAGAUGCAGAUCUGCUGUCAGGAAAACAGCCACAUGAAUGGAGAAAACCUGAGGUAGAAGAUGGAGCAAGGGGAGCAGAGACGUCCGAGUUACAUACACGGUGUUCCUAACCAGGGCACUGUCCUGCAGAAUCAGGGGACUUCUUUUCAGAAUAUCAGCACAGUCAUGCCAACCCCCUGAGAUUCAAGUUCUCUAAGCCUGUGGUAGGACAGGCGUUCUCUACAUUGUAACGUUGUAACAUCAGGUAACUCUGAGGGGAGCGUUUAGGCCACAAGCAGUGCCAGAGCUUCCCUUAGGCACAGGCAAGUUUAUCUAGAUAAAUUGUGUCCUACCAGAAAAAGUUCUUGAGGGUUCUCCAAAAAUAAGCAUUCAAUUAAAAAUGGAGGCAGAGGAAAGAGCAGGGGCUUCACAUUCAAACAGGACUGAGCUCCAUUACCAGCUGGGUGGGCCUCUGCAUGUUCCCGUUCCUCUCCACGUCUGUCUCCUCUCAUGUAAAAUGGCAAUAUCACUACCUGCCUUGGCAGGGCUACUGCAAAGAUGAAAUUACAAACUAAUGGGCUGUAAUUACUGAGUACUUCCUACAUGUCAGGCACUAUGCUAAGUGCGUUACAUCUUAUUUAAUCUUCACCCUACAAGAUAGAUACCACUAUCCCCAUCUUAACCACGGAGAAACUGAGGCUUAAGAGAGUUUAGGUCACUUGCCCAAGGUCAUUCAGCUAGCUGGGGCCAGAGUCAAGAUGGGUCAGAGUUCAAGCUCUGAAACAGUGCGCUCCAACAUCUGCAAAGCCAGGCACAUGUGGGUUACUCAGUAAAUGUGGUUUCAUUACUGUUUUCACUAUAGAAGUAACCACUUCCAUAGGAUUUGACCAGCAUUCUCUCUCUCUUUUUAAAACUAUUCUUUGAUGCCCUGAAAUAGCCUCAACAAACAACUUAACUACUAGAUACCCCCUUAAGCUCUUGUUCCUUCAGAUGGGGAAAGGACACUGAAUCACAACACCAAUUUUUCAAAUCCGUUAUAAGACAUCCAUGUGAGGGAGGGCGAGGUAUUUGAAGUCAUGCCUCAUCUUGGACUUAAUAUGAAAUUUCUGCUAAUUCACACAGAUUCUUGGCUCAAGUUCUCCUUUUCUGGAUAUGUUAAUAUUCAAGUGUUUGUGACUUGCAAACGUUAUAUAUAAACAAGAUAAAAGUACUACUGUUUAAGCUUCUGUCUCAGAGGUUACAAAAUCCAGUGCCUAUAGGAGCCAGACAGGUGAAUUAAACGAGAAGAGAGCUAGAUGUGAGGCAAUAGGGAAUGGUGGGGACUGUGGUAAGGUGAAGAGCACUGUUUGAAGAGGGCAGUUUCUUCUCAGCUCCAGCCGAUGGCUGUCAUGCAGUACAGUGGGCCCAGUGUUGCAAGAGCUUCUGGGUUUUCAAAAGAAACUGGAAAUCCAGAUUUUUAUGUAGAAUUUCCUUAUACUUAAAAAAUCAGCAACUUAAAUUUUUUUCAUUGCUGUAUGUUGGCCAAACCUAACGUCUAUAAGCCAGUUUCAGCCCCUAGGUUAUCAGUUUGUGACUUCUGCUAUAGGAAUACCAAUGUAAUUAUAAUAGCUACCACCUUUUUGAGCACAGAGAGGUUUAGUAACUUGCCCAGGGUCUCACAACUAGAAAUGGGGGAGCUAGGAAUUUCUCCCACAUCUGUCUUAGUUCAAAGCCUAUGCUCUUACACACUACUCUAUUUUAUCUCUAUAUAACCUAUAUAUUCCUCUAUAUGACCUAGGGCAGGAGUCAAUAUUUUUUCUGUAAAGGGCCAAACUGUAAAUAUUUUCGGCUUUGCAAACCUUAACGUCGCUGUUGCAACUACCCAGCUGCUGUUGUAAUGUAAUCAGCCAGAGACAAAAUGUAAAUGAAUGAGUAUGGCUGUGUUCCAAUAAAACUUUAUAUACAAAUACAAGUGGUGGGCCAGAUUUGGCCUGUGGGCAAUAGUUUACUAACACCUGUUUUAAGGGAAGAAAUGUUAUCUUCAUCUUAUAGCCCCCAAAAGCAAGGUUCAGGAGGGAGGACUUGUCUGAGGCCACAUUCUUUGUUAACUGUGACCUAAGCAACACCUUAUUGACAUUACCAAAUAAGUAUUCUGUACUUACUGAAAGAAAUCUUAAUUUUUCUAAAAAUAUUCCACAAUGUACAGUUAUCUCCCCUGCCCCCCAUACAUGGGCAGCAGCUGAAGGCUGCUAACUGAAAUGCAAGAGUGUAGAAGAAUGUUUACUCCAGAAUGAAAAUCAUCACCUCUGGGUCAGUGUUCCAGCAGCAACCCAGGUAACUAAGGACAGAAUGAGUCUACAAAGCAUUCUGGAAAGAGGCAGCCCCUACAAGCAAAAUCCAGUGCCAGCGCUCUAAAUACACACUUGCAGUGCCUCCCCUCAGCCCAGGCACCCCCAUGAAGCAAUCUAGGCUGUGAGGCAGCUGCCAGAGGCAACGUGAUCAUUCAUUUUCAGACUCUCAGGAUGUGCCAAGGGUAUAGAAGCCCCAGGUAAGAGAACGAAGUGGACAUUUAUUUCCUGGUGCCAGAGUCAACCUGCGUCAGCAUGAGUAUUAUUGAUUUGAGUGUCAAGUAUCAAAAGUCCCAGCAGACCGUGGCGUGGUUACAGGUAAGUGUAGGCCUGUUAACAGGAAGGUCUGGGACCUUGGCCAGCUAGAAAUCUCCAUUAGCACAGGGAGGGAAGCGUCUAUUCAAGGACUUCCAAGGCCAUUAUAUGGCUGAGGUGGGCAGCUGCCUCCUGGGCAGACCACAGUUACAGCAAGCAGAGCUGAAAUAUGAUGGCAGAACAGACCUCAGGGCUUCAGCACACAUGGUCAAGGGUAACUAGGGCAGCUCUCUCCUCAGAGGGUUUAGGAGAGUGCAAGGAAAUGAGUACGCCCUUGGCCUAUACUAUGGGCCGGUGACUUCUGCAUAACACUAUACAAUAUUCACAUAUUCACUUUACGAAUGACCCCACUGAGGCCCUGUGAUGGUUAAUUUAUUUGUCAUCCUGGCAAAGCCAUGGUAACCAAUUGUUUGGUCAAAACUAGUCUAGAUGUCAUUGUGAAGGAAUUUUUUAGGUGUGAUUAGCAUUUAACUCAGUAGACUCUGAAUAAAGCAGAGUGUUUAUUCCAUAAUGUGGGUGGGCCUCACUCAAUCAGUUGCAGGCCUUUAAAGACUGAGGUCCCACUAAAGAAAGAGGGGCUGAGCCUCCAGACUGCCCCAGGGCUCAAGACUGCAACAUCAACCCUUCCCUGGCUCUCCAGCCUGCAGUCUGCCCUGCAGGUUUCAGACUUAUCAGCCCUGACAAUCGGGUGAGCCAGUUCCUUAAAAUAAAUCCAUAAAUCUGUAUCUUAUCCACAUCCUAGGCAGACACUGGUGGCGUGACACGGAGCAGAGCCCACCACUGCGCCCACAGCCCAGACAGGGUUACCUUCUUGCGUGGCCGAAGCUUGUCCCGCCAUUCCUUCAGGUUCUGGUUAUGGCUUUCAUCCAGGGCCUUCAGCUUCUGGGUCUCAUGCUCUACCAGGAGGUGACACUUUUCAUUCUGGAACAUAUUCCAGGAAGUACAGGACACAGCAAGAAGGCAUCCAUCUGCAAGCCAGAAAGAGAGACUUCACCAGAACCCAACCAUGCUGGCAAAGCUGAUCAUGGAUUUCCAGGCUCCAAAACUGAGAGGCUGUGACAAGGGGUAAGGGCCGUGGACCUGGCUGAGGUUCGCCAGCCUCCCUGUUCUCUCACUGAGAAAUUGCCAGAUGGAUCCAAUGGCUAAAGAAUUUCCUGAGGUCACAGAGGUUUGUGUCAGCCCAUCUGUCAGAUACUGCUGCUCUUCACAUUCUGGUAGCUAAAUAUCCUUGAACCUCUGUGAUGAUUCAUCUUCAAGAUUAGUCCUAGAAGCAAAAAUUCUAGGCCAAAGGAUGUGUACAUUUUUGAAGCUCUUGAUGCCCUUGCCAGAGUCGCCUCCUAAAAGGGCCAAUCUGCUCUCCCUCUGCGAGGACUAGGGCCUGUCUCCCCUACCCUCCCUAACCUUGCACUCUUUUUCUAAUCAAUCUGUCAAGGGACAGGUUGUAGGAAAGCAUGAUGGUGUCCUGGAGUCAGACUCAGUUUGAGACCUCGGACCCCACUGUGCAGUGCCACCUCUCUGAGCCUUUGUUUCGUCCUCUGUAAAGGGGGGAAAAAAACAGCACCUACCCUGGUAUGCCAUGAAUGCUAAACCAGAUAAUAUACAAAACAUUUGUAAUUGUAGACUCUAAUUUUCUUUGCAUUUGGGGGCAAAGGAAGUGGGACAAAAUGAGACCAUGAAGUGAAAAGAAGGCUGGGACAGAGGGGACAGUGUCUAGCUGGGAGAGGCUGACAGGAACCAGACCUACAGGGCCUUGAAAGCAUGUGAGAAGGCUGAUAUGAUUUUAUGGACAAAGUGGGAGCCACUGAAAGUUUUAAGGGCAGAGGGCUGUUGCGGGAGGGUGUCAUGAUCAGAUUUGGAAUUUGUAUUGAUGACACCAACUGCUGUGAGAGAAAGAACUGCAGGGAAACUAGCUGGAAGGCUACUGCAGAAGUCCAGGCAAAAGACAACAAUGGCUAGGGGGUCACAGAGAUGUUGACAAGUUGAUGGAUCCAGAAAGAGUCUGGAGAUUUAAAAAAAAAAAAAAAAAUCCAAGCUUCAAGAAGUAAUGAAGGAUUGGAGGGAAAAGAAGUGUCAGGAAUGACAAGGCUUCUGGCCUGACAACACAAUGCAGGGCGGUGUCCCCUGAGAACAUGAGAAUAGGACCAGGUCCUAUUUGGGUUUGAUGGCUUUGAGACUCCAAAAGAUGCCAAGUGGGCAUAUGGAUAUACCGGGUUGGUCAAGGAGAUGUGAUGUACAAACAACCAUAAACGAGGCAGGAGGCACAAAAGACUUUGGGAGAGGUAGAUGUUAAAGGUGGUUGGUGUCUCCUGGAAAUGGGAGAGCUCACUUCCAUCUGGAGUGAGAGCAAUCAAGAAAGGCUGCAUGGUGGAGGUGAUAAUAGGAAUGAUAACCAGGAUGGUCUGGAUUUAGGUAUUCAGAAUAAAAGGUGAGUACUUAAGGGGCAGGGCAUGGACAUAGAGAGGGGCUCUGCAUCUCAAACCUGGGACUCCCCAACCCCAAUACUUCCCAACUGAGGGACAAGGACUCACGAGAAGCUGUUUUUUCUGCGCAUGCUCCUCCAUCUUCUGCUUCAUGCUCUCCUUCCGCUGCUGCCUGGGGAGCUUCUCCACUUCAUUCUUCACCUGCACCAGAGACAACAGAGAAUGGCUGGGUCAGGGUACUACCACACACUUCAUGUAAAAUAAGCCUUCAGUCCCAGAACUCCUAGGUCAGGGAGACUGAAGACGAGGCUCAGCUUUCUAGACACUAGCUCCCACCCCGCUCUCCACCCCCUGACAGAUGGCACCUGCUGGCCACCUGUCUGCUGCCGGCUCCAGUUUCCAGACUCCCCCAGAGCAGACAGACGCUAGUUUUGCUGUUUGGUAUCCAUCCCCCUUCUUCUAAUAACAGCACCUCAGUUUCCUUUAGGACAGUGUUUCUCAACCUCUUUUUAAAUUGUUGUCCCCUCAGAAGCCCUUUUAGACAUUUCUUUUCCUAAUUACCCACCCCCUUGAAAUAUUAAUCCCCCAGAUAUACUGUCAAUCUGUUAAACCAUUAUAUCUAAGAUGUUUUUAACUCCUUGGUGGGGUGGGGGGAGGAUAUCACCUCAGUUGAAAUGCAUGGGUUAAGUUGCUCCCACUCAGUCUCUGAGGUUCAGGUGUGGCUGAUGCCCCAACCCCAUCUGACCCUAGGCUGGACAUAUGAUCCAGGCUGUCAAUCAGUACAUUCCAUGCCUUGGCAUCAGGGAUUGGUUCAGAGAUGAGUAUGUUACCCUUGCUGGACUAGUGAGAGCUUCUGGAUGUUUGCUGGAACUACUGGGGAAAGCCACUCUCUGUCGUUUGGGGUUGCUGAGCUGGGAGGAUGUAGGCCAUGGUGGACCACCCAAAAGGCAUCUGCCUGAGACGGAAUCAACGUAGGGAAGCAAUGUUAAGAGAUAAAGAAUUCCUGGUGACACUUCUGCCCUCCAGGUCAGAGGCAGGAGUUCUGGGUUUGAUGUCUUUGAGACUCCAAAAGAUGCCAGGUGGGCAGAUGGUAAACUAAUAGUGUUCUCAAGCCAGCUGGAACUGGGUUUCUUUUAUAACAGAAGAAGAGAUUCAUGACAUUUCACUGUGAGAAAGCUAGAGUUCCUCAGACAGUUUUCUCUGAGUAACCAAUACCUUCAUGGUUACCUGACACCCCAAAACAUGCACUCACUGACAGGUUUCUUAGGAACAGCUAGUGAAGGUAAAAAUACUGUCCAUGAUCAAAAAAAGCAUUCCAGGAGAGUUCUGCUUCUAGCAUGCUGAGGUAAGGCAAUACAGUCUCUCUUUCCUGCUGAAUACGAUGAAAAACUCUGGAUAAAAUACAAAGAGCAACUAUCUGAGGACUCUGAAAAGUAAACAAAAUCAGGUGACUCUGAAAGGGAGUCAAAACUUACAGAAGGGGCUGGUAUAGAGGGUGAGUUUCCUGGGUUUUUUUUUUUCCUUUUGCUCUCCUGGCUUUGCCCUAGUCCUAGGCAGUGAUGUAGUGAAAAGGUGGCUAAAACUGUAAGAAAUGUUAUGUUUCUGGCCAGAGAAUCAGGCAAUGGUCAAUAAGAUUAAUAAACCUUUAGUCAGAUUGACAGGGAAGAAGAGAAGGAAAAGGAGGAGGGAGAGGAAGAGGAUACUACCACACAAAUUACCAGUAUGAAGAGUGAAAGAGAAAUCACUACAGAUCCUACAGUCAUUAAAAGGAUACAAAGGGAAUACUAUGCACAGCUUUAUGUCAAUAAAUUCAGCAACUCAGGUGAAACAGACAAAUUCCUUGAAAGAAAGUACCAAAGCUCAUUCAAGAAGACAGAGAUAACUAAAACCAGAGUAACAUUAAAAGAAAACCACAGACCAAUAUCCUUUUCAUAAAUAGACUCAAAAAAGUCCUCAACAAAAUAUUAGCAAAUUCAAUCUAGUAAUAUAUGAAAAGGAGAAUACAUAAUGACCAAGUGGGCUUUAUCCCAGGAAUAUAAAGCUCAUUCAAUAUUUGAAAAUCAAGCAAUACAAUUCACAAUAUCAAUAGACUAAAGAAGAAAAACUAUGAUCACAUCAGUAUAGGAAAACCAUUUGACAAAAUUCAACAUCCAUUCAUGACAAAAUCUGUUAGCAAACUAGGAAUAGAAGGAAACUUCCUUAAUCUGAAAAAGGGCAUCUACAAAAAAACCCUAAUGCUAACAUCAUACUUAACUAUGAAAUACUGUUUUCCCCUUAAGACUGGGAACAAGGCAAAGAUGUCCACUUUACUAUUCCUGUUUAACAUCCCCCUAGAGGUCCUUGCCAGCACAAUAAAGCAAGAAAAAGAAACAAAAAACAUCCAGAUUAAAAAGUAAGAAAUAGGAGAAACAAGGUCUUACUGUAUGGCACAGGGAACUGUGUUCAAUAUCCUGUGAUAAACCAUAUGGAAAAGAAUAUAUAUAACUGAGUCACUUUGCUAUACAGCAGAAAUAAACACAACAGUAAAUCAACAUUACAAUAAAAUCUUUAAAAAUAAAAAGAAAUAAAACUCUAUUUGCAACAUUAUUGUCUAUGUAGAAAAUCCCAAGAAGUCUUUUUUUUAAGAAGUCCUAGAACUGAUAAGUGAGAACAAUACACAAGAUCAAUAUACCAGUAUUUGUCUACACACUAGCACUGACAUUAGAAAUUGACAUUAAAGAAUAGUAUCUUGUAUAAUAGCAGAGAAAAAGAAGUAAAUAUAACUCUAACAAAAUAUGUGCUGAAUCUGUAUGCUGAAAACUAUAAAACACUAAGGAAAGAUGUCAAAGGAGACCUAAAUAAAUGGAGAGAUAUUGUGUUCGUGGAAAGACUCAGUAUCGUUCAGAUUCCAUUCUCCGUAAACUGAUCCAAGGAUUCAACUCAAUCUCAAUCAAAAAUCCCAGCAGACGUUUUUACAGAAAUCAACAAGGUGAUUCUAAGAUAUAUAUGGAUAGGCAAAGGAACUAGAAGGGCCAAAACAAUUCUGAAGGAAAAAAAAAAAAGGAACAAAGUUGGAGAACUCACACUACCUGAUUUCAAGACUUACUAUAAAAAUAUAUUUAUCAAAACAUUGUAGAAUUGGUAAAAGAUAGACAAAUAGAUCAAUGGAACAGCAUAGAGAGUUCAGUUAUAGAGACACACAUAUAUACAGUCAAUUGAUUUUGCUUAAAGGUGCAAAGGCAAAUCAAAGGAGAAAGGCUAGUCUUUUCAGCAAAUGGUGCUAGGCAACUGGACAUCCAUAGGCAAAAACAACAAUAAUAAUAGUGAACCUCACCCAUACAUCUAACGUAAAACCUAACAUUGUAAAACAUCUAAAAGAAAACAUGACCUUCAGUUAUGCAAAGAUUUCUCAGAUAUGCCACAAUCCCUGAAAGAAAAAAUGAUAAGCUGGACUUAACCAAAAUUAAAUACUUCUGCUUUAUGCAAGACACUGUUAGGAGAAUCAAACGACAAGCCACAGACUGUAAGCCAACAUUUGCAAAAUAUAUAACUGACAAAGGACUUGUAUUUAGAAUGUAAAAAGAACUGUCAGAGACUUCCUAGGUGGCACAGUGGGUAAGAAUCCACCUGCUAAUGCAGGGGACACAGGUUCAAUCCCUGCCCCAGGAAGAUCCCACGUGCCGCGGAGCAACUAGGCCCAUGUGCCACAACUAUUGAGCCUGCACUCAAGAGCCCGUGAGCCACAACUAUUAAGCCCAUGUGCCGCAGCUACUGAAGCCCACGCACCUAGAUCCCGUGCUCCACAGCAAGAGAAGCCACGGCAAUGAGGAGCCCAUGUACCACAAUGAAGAGUAGCCCCCGCUCUCCGCAACUAGAGAAAGGCCAUGUGCAGCAACAAAGACCCAACACAGCCAAUAAAAAUAAAUAAAUAAAUUUAUUUAUUUAUUAAAAAAAAAAACUCAGAAUUCAGUAAUAAAAAAACAAAUCACCCAGUUAAAUAAAUGGGCAAAGUUGUAUAAACAGGUACCUCACCAAGAAAGAUAUAUAGAUAGCAAAUAAGCACAUGAACAGACAAUCAACAUUAGUCAUUAAUGAAAUGCAAAUAAAAAGCCACAACUGAGAUACCAUUUCCUAUCAGAAUGGCUAAAAAUAGAAAAAAUAAAACUGAUAAUAUUGGGUGGGCCGAAAAGUGCCUUUGGUUUUUCAAGUAAAAAUAAGACACAUUUUUCAUUUUCACCAAGAACUUUAUUAAACAACAUAUUCACUCUUUUGUUCCACCACCACCUGCCAUUUUUCAGGCAACUUCAUAAUUUCAUCUUCCCAAAAUUUUUUAUCUUUUUGAGCAAAGAACUGCCUUUUACAGUCUUCCAGGGAAUUGAAAUUUUUUCCAGUAAGAGAAUUUUGUAAAGACCGAAAUACAUGGAAAUUCUAAGGUGCAAUGUCUGGUGAAUAUGACGGAUGAAUCAGAACUUCCCAGCCAAGCUGUAACAGUUUUGCUCGGUCAUCAAAAAAACAUGCGGUCUUGCAUUAUCCUGAUGGAAAAUUAUGCAUUUUCUGUUGACUCACUCUGGACAGUUUUGUCAACUGUGCUUUCAGUUUGUUUAAUUGGGAGCAGUACUUGUUGGAAUUAAUCAUUUGGUUUUCCAGAAGGAGCUCAUAACAAAGGACUCCCUUCCAAUCCCACCAUAUACACAUCACCUUCUUUGGAUGAAGACUGGACUUUGGAGUGGUUGGUGGUAGUUCAUUUCACUUGCCCCACAAUCUCUUCCAUUCCACAUUGUUGUACAGUAUCCACUGUUCAUCCCCCAUCACAAUUUGUUUUAAAAAUGUAAACAUCUUUGGGACUUCC
Molecule: long non-coding RNA, 11973 nt
Organism: Hippopotamus amphibius kiboko
Lineage: Eukaryota; Metazoa; Chordata; Mammalia; Artiodactyla; Hippopotamidae
Exons: 9
Source: RefSeq, a predicted model, not a curated record